Molecule: ribosomal RNA, 446 nt
Filed under: uncultured bacterium
Lineage: Bacteria
Description: bacterial SSU rRNA
Rfam family: Bacterial small subunit ribosomal RNA
Source: RNAcentral
UGCCAGACUCCUACGGGAGGCAGCAGUGGGGGAUAUUGCACAAUGGGGGGAACCCUGAUGCAGCGACGCCGCGUGGGUGAAGAAGCGCCUCGGCGCGUAAAGCCCUGUCAGCAGGGAAGAAAAUGACGGUACCUGACUAAGAAGCCCCGGCUAACUACGUGCCAGCAGCCGCGGUAAUACGUAGGGGGCAAGCGUUAUCCGGAUUUACUGGGUGUAAAGGGAGCGUAGACGGCAUGGCAAGCCAGAUGUGAAAUACCGGGGCUCAACCCCGGGACUGCAUUUGGAACUGUUAAGCUGGAGUGUCGGAGAGGCAGGCGGAAUUCCUAGUGUAGCGGUGAAAUGCGUAGAUAUUAGGAGGAACACCAGUGGCGAAGGCGGCCUGCUGGACGAUAACUGACGUUGAGGCUCGAAAGCGUGGGGAGCAAACAGGAUUAGAUACCCGAGUA